AAUAAUAAUAAUAAUAAACAGAACAAUAACAAUAGGAUUUUCCACAGAAAAGUGGAAAGCCCUAAUAACUAGUGAUCCUAAUUGUUCGCGAACAAUUAGAGGGCUUCCCACCUUCUAGCGGUUUUUCAGUAGUGUUGAAAUGCUAAAAGCCCCCCCCCCCUACCCCACCCCACCCUCACCCAAAAAAAAAAAAUUGAUUUGGCUAGAAAAGAAAUUCAAAUUUGCCGCCUAAAUUUGAGUGUUGAGGUGUGUUCAAUGCUUGGUUUCGCAUUAAGUACCCGUCAAAUUUGAGGGAGAAAAGGGGUGUGGGUGUUGGGUAGCCAGCACAUAUGCACAUAUCAGGUAAAAGUGUAAUGGGACUUGUGCAGGUGUUUGGGGUGACUUUAGACCUGUUAGAUGUGAUAUUUGGAGGUGCAAAGAAACCGGAUGUGCCAUUUUCCUAGAUUGUAGUAACUGCUGGUGCAUGCUGGGAGUCUAUACAAGCCUCAUGUUGUCAGAUGUUGUGAAGAUGCACUGGAUUUGACCGUGUGUGUUGUGGAUUGUGGAAUUGAAUAUACAGUUUGUAAUGGCUCAUCCUAUGUGUUCUAAUUCACGGAGACAAUGUCUUUCAGUCAUUUCACCCAAGGAGGCAUGCAUAUACGGAUUUAUAGGCUUUGACAACAAACAACCAAAAUGGCGGCCGGUGAAUUAGAAAGUGUCUGAGUGCAUGUAGGAUAUCUGAACGGAGAAUAGGAGUACUGCAUCCCAUCUGAUCCUGCAGUCAUUUCACCCAAGGAGGCAUGCAUAUACGGAUUUAUAGGCUUUGACAACAAACAACCAAAAUGGCGGCCGGUGAAUUAGAAAGUGUCUGAGUGCAUGUAGGAUAUCUGAACGGAGAAUAGGAGUACUGCAUCCCAUCUGAUCCUGCAGUCAUUUCACCCAAGGAGGCAUGCAUAUACGGAUUGAUAGGCUUUGACAACAAACAACCAAAAUGGCGGCCGGUGAAUUAGAAAGUGUCUGAGUGCAUGUAGGAUAUCUGAACGGAGAAUAGGAGUACUGCAUCCCAUCUGAUCCUGCAGGUAAGUGUUUAUUUGUUUACAAUGACAGUCGGGAUGGAAUGUCAAUGAGUUCAACUGUCAAGUAAAGUUGCAUCAUCA
Long non-coding RNA from Ostrea edulis (European flat oyster), 1136 nucleotides. RefSeq lists it as uncharacterized. The record is from RefSeq and is a predicted model, not a curated record. The transcript is spliced from 3 exons. NCBI's taxonomy places the organism in Eukaryota, Metazoa, Mollusca, Bivalvia, Ostreida, Ostreidae.